This 443-nucleotide ribosomal RNA is filed under the name uncultured bacterium. RNAcentral describes it as "partial 16S ribosomal RNA". It matches the Rfam family "Bacterial small subunit ribosomal RNA", at positions 338 to 795 of the family's 1533-position model. The record is from RNAcentral.
CCUACGGGUGGCAGCAGUGGGGAAUAUUGGGCAAUGGGCGCAAGCCUGACCCAGCAACGCCGCGUGAAGGAAGAAGGCUUUCGGGGUGUAAACUUCUUUUGGCAGGGACGAAGCAAGUGACGGUACCUGACGAAUAAGCCACUGCUAACUACGGGCCAGCAGCCGCGGUAAUACGGAAGUAGCAAGCGUUAUCCGGAUUUAAUGGGUGUAAAGGGGGAGUAGGCGGGGAAGCAAGUCAGAUGGGAAAACCACGGGCUCAACCUGUGGCCUGCAUUUGAAACUGUUGUUCUUGAGUGCUGGAGAGGCAAUCGGAAUUCCGUGUGUAGCGGUGAAAUGCGUAGAUAUACGGAGGAACACCAGUGGCGAAGGCGGAUUGCUGGACAGUAACUGACGCUGAGGCGCGAAAGCGUGGGGAGCAAACAGGAUUAGAUACCCUUGUAGUC